CUAACCCUAAAUCUAACCAUAGUACUUAAACAUGAAACCGAAUCCUAAUUCUAACCUCAAUCCUUCAUUCUAAAAGCUAAAUCUAAUCUUAAACCCAACCAUAAAUCUUCAAACUGAAACCUAACCCUAACUCUAAACUCAACCCUUCAACCUGAAACUGAAACCUAACCCUAAGUCUAAACUCAACCCUUCAACCUGAAACUGAAACCUAACCCUAAGUCUAAACUCAACCCUUCAACCUGAAACUGAAACCUAACCCUAACUCUAAACUCAACCCUUCAACCUGAAACUGAAACCUAACCCUUCAAACUAAAACCUGGAUCUCACCCUGAGCUUAACCCUUCAUCUUAAAAUUAAACUGAAUCUAACCCUGAUCUUAAAAUCUGUCCUUCACCCGUGACGAUAUGACGUUCUCUGACUUUGUGUCUCCUGCUUUCAGUUUUCGUCCAAGCUGCUGGCCGAUGGAUGUGACGCCGGCUUCCUCAGGGAGAAAUGAGAGGAGAGUGGAAGAGGAACAGUCCUGCCUCGUUCAGCUCUCCCUCUGAAACCCUGGCAGACUUACUGUACGGGAAUACAAAGCGUGUGUUUGACUGCACACUGACAGGCGGUAAAGGGAAGAGGCCAGCCCGUAUAAGAGCACCGUCAGUCACGCUGUACGACUCAGAUCUCCCACCCACCUCACAUGUUAAG
Pygocentrus nattereri (red-bellied piranha) is the source of this 690-nucleotide long non-coding RNA. RefSeq lists it as uncharacterized. The record is from RefSeq and is a predicted model, not a curated record. The transcript has 3 exons. NCBI's taxonomy places the organism in Eukaryota, Metazoa, Chordata, Actinopteri, Characiformes, Serrasalmidae.